CGUUAGGCUUGACCGGGAUGCUUGGCGUAUCCUUCUAUACCGAAACCGUCAACACGCGGAGGUGACAGCGGGGGGCGGCAUCUUGGAAGCCUCAAGCUCACAAAGUGACUAUGAGAUCCUGUCUUGCGGGAUCGGAGUCUGUGUUCGGGACGGCCGGAGGGUCGUUCGGGUCACACUCAUCGGGGGAACCGGGCCAGGCCCUGACGGGAGCAGCCUUACCUUGAACUACCGAAGUUCGCAGGGUAGCGGGGUCGAGAAGCGAUGUGUUAAACUUGAGGUGGAAGAGGUGUCCACCCCCGUGGCCUAGCA
RNAcentral lists this signal recognition particle RNA (309 nucleotides) under Candidatus Methanomethylophilaceae archaeon. Its description in RNAcentral is "signal recognition particle sRNA". It matches the Rfam family "Archaeal signal recognition particle RNA". The record is from RNAcentral. Lineage: Archaea; Methanobacteriati; Thermoplasmatota; Thermoplasmata; Methanomassiliicoccales; Methanomethylophilaceae.